Aneurinibacillus sp. XH2 is the source of this 73-nucleotide transfer RNA. It matches the Rfam family "tRNA". Rfam says of the family: Transfer RNA (tRNA) molecules are approximately 80 nucleotides in length. Their secondary structure includes four short double-helical elements and three loops (D, anti-codon, and T loops). The record is from Rfam. Lineage: Bacteria; Bacillati; Bacillota; Bacilli; Caryophanales; Paenibacillaceae.
GGGCCCUUAGCUCAGUUGGUAGAGCGGUCGGCUCAUAACCGAUUGGUCGCAGGUUCGAGUCCUGCAGGGCCCA